AGAAUCAACGCUGGCGGCGUGCCUAACACAUGCAAGUCGAACGAGAAAGGGGAGCAAUCCCUGAGUAAAGUGGCGACCGGGUGAGUAACACGUGACUAACCUACCCUCGAGUGUGGAAUAACAUCGGGAAACCGAUGCUAAUACCGCAUAACAUCGGCGCUUUUAAGAGAUGCCGAUCAAAGGAGCAAUCCGCUUGAGGAGGGGGUCGCGGCUGAUUAGCUAGUUGGCGGGGUAACGGCCCACCAAGGCGAAGAUCGGUAGCCGGCCUGAGAGGGCGCACGGCCACACUGGAACUGAAACACGGUCCAGACUCCUACGGAGGCAGCAGUGGGGAAUUUUGCGCAAUGGGGGAAACCCUGACGCAGCAACGCCGCGUGGAGGAUGAAGUCCCUUGGGACGUAAACUCCUUUCGAUCGGGACGAUAAUGACGGUACCGAGAGAAGAAGCCCCGGCUAACUUCGUGCCAGCAGCCGC
RNAcentral lists this ribosomal RNA (474 nucleotides) under uncultured bacterium. Its description in RNAcentral is "SSU rRNA". It matches the Rfam family "Bacterial small subunit ribosomal RNA", at positions 26 to 518 of the family's 1533-position model. The record is from RNAcentral.